RNAcentral lists this ribosomal RNA (393 nucleotides) under uncultured bacterium. Its description in RNAcentral is "partial 16S ribosomal RNA". It matches the Rfam family "Bacterial small subunit ribosomal RNA", at positions 523 to 919 of the family's 1533-position model. The record is from RNAcentral.
AUACGUAUGGGGCGAGCGUUGUCCGGAAUGAUUGGGCGUAAAGGGUACGUAGGCGGUUAAUUAAGUCGAGUGUGAAAGGUUGGGGCUCAACCCCAUAAAGCAUUCGAAACUGGUUAACUUGAGAUGUGGAGAGGAAAGUGGAAUUCCUAGUGUAGCGGUGACAUGCGUAGAUAUUAGGAGGAAUACCAGUAGCGAAGGCGACUUUCUGGACACAUACUGACGCUGAGGUACGAAAGCGUGGGGAGCAAACAGGAUUAGAUACCCUGGUAGUCCACGCCGUAAACGAUGAGUGCUAGGUGUCGGGGGUCAAACCUCGGUGCCGCAGUUAACACAUUAAGCACUCCGCCUGGGGAGUACGGCCGCAAGGCUGAAACUCAAAGGAAUUGACGGGGG